UACGUAGGGACCGAGCGUUGUCCGGAAUCAUUGGGCGUAAAGAGCGUGUAGGCGGCCAAUUAAGUCCUGCGUGAAAUCUCGGGGCUCAACCCCGAGCGGUCGUGGGAAACUGGUUGGCUAGAGUGCGGGAGAGGAGAGUGGAAUUCCUGGUGUAGCGGUGAAAUGCGCAGAUAUCGCUUGGAACGCCAACGGUGAAAACAGGUUGCUGGGGGUGUGCUGACGCUGAGACACGAAAGCCAGGGGAGCGAACGGG
RNAcentral lists this ribosomal RNA (253 nucleotides) under uncultured bacterium. RNAcentral describes it as "partial 16S ribosomal RNA". It matches the Rfam family "Bacterial small subunit ribosomal RNA", at positions 524 to 776 of the family's 1533-position model. The record is from RNAcentral.